RNAcentral lists this small RNA (434 nucleotides) under Pan troglodytes (chimpanzee). RNAcentral describes it as "processed transcript". Lineage: Eukaryota; Metazoa; Chordata; Mammalia; Primates; Hominidae. The record is from RNAcentral.
GUCUGGUCCAUCGAACUCAUAUGUCAUCCUGUCGGGUGGAUAAGCCCUCUGAGAUAGUAGAUGUCGGAGAUAAAGUGUGGGUGAAGCUUAUUGGCCGAGAGAUGAAAAAUGAUAGAAUAAAAGUAUCCCUCUCCAUGAAGGUUGUCAAUCAAGGGACUGGGAAAGACCUUGAUCCCAACAACGUUAUCAUUGAGCAAGAAGAGAGGCGGAGGCGAUCCUUCCAGGAUUACACUGGGCAGAAGAUCACCCUUGAGGCUGUCUUGAACACUACCUGCAAGAAGUGUGGCUGUAAAGGCCACUUUGCAAAAGAUUGUUUCAUGCAACCAGGUGGGACCAAAUACUCUCUGAUACCUGAUGAGGAAGAGGAAAAGGAAGAGGCAAAGUCAGCAGAGUUUGAGAAGCCUGACCCUACAAGGAAUCCUUCUAGAAAAAGA